This is a small nuclear RNA of Capra hircus (goat), 107 nucleotides long. The record is from Ensembl. Lineage: Eukaryota; Metazoa; Chordata; Mammalia; Artiodactyla; Bovidae.
GUGCUCGCUUUGGCAGCACAUAUACUAAAAUUGGAACGAUACAGAGAAGAAUAGCAUGGACCCUGCACAAGGAUGACAUGCAAAUUCGUGAAGCAUUCCAUAUUUUU